GAACGCUGGCGGCAGGCUUAACACAUGCAAGUCGAGCGGGGAAGGGUAGCUUGCUACCUAACCUAGCGGCGGACGGGUGAGUAAUGCUUAGGAAUCUGCCUAUUAGUGGGGGACAACAUUCCGAAAGGAAUGCUAAUACCGCAUACGUCCUACGGGAGAAAGCAGGGGACCUUCGGGCCUUGCGCUAAUAGAUGAGCCUAAGUCAGAUUAGCUAGUUGGUGGGGUAAAGGCCUACCAAGGCGACGAUCUGUAGCGGGUCUGAGAGGAUGAUCCGCCACACUGGGACUGAGACACGGCCCAGACUCCUACGGGAGGCAGCAGUGGGGAAUAUUGGACAAUGGGCGCAAGCCUGAUCCAGCCAUGCCGCGUGUGUGAAGAAGGCCUUUUAGUUGUAAAGCACUUUAAGCGAGGAGGAGGCUACCGAGAUUAAUACUCUUGGAUAGUGGACGUUACUCGCAGAAUAAGCACCGGCUAACUCUGUGCCAGCAGCCGCGGUAAU
Molecule: ribosomal RNA, 499 nt
Filed under: uncultured bacterium
Lineage: Bacteria
Description: bacterial SSU rRNA
Rfam family: Bacterial small subunit ribosomal RNA
Source: RNAcentral